RNAcentral lists this ribosomal RNA (384 nucleotides) under uncultured Anaerolineaceae bacterium. RNAcentral's name for it is "bacterial SSU rRNA". It matches the Rfam family "Bacterial small subunit ribosomal RNA", at positions 984 to 1382 of the family's 1533-position model. Lineage: Bacteria; Bacillati; Chloroflexota; Anaerolineae; Anaerolineales; Anaerolineaceae. The record is from RNAcentral.
ACAUAUAGGUUGUAGGGAACGUGAAAGGGACCGACCCUUCGGGAGGCCUAUACAGGUGUUGCAUGGCUGUCGUCAGCUCGUGUCGUGAGAUGUUCGGUUAAGUCCGCUAACGAGCGCAACCCUCGUCGUAUGUUAUAUGUGUCAUACGAGACUGCCGGUAAAAGCCGGAGGAAGGUGAGGAUGAUGUCAAGUCAGCAUGACCUUUAUAUCCAGGGCUACACACACGCUACAAUGGUCUGUACAAUGGGUAGCCAAGCCGCGAGGCGGAGCCAAUCCUGAAAGCAGGCCUCAGUUCAGAUUGCAGUCUGCAACUCGACUGCAUGAAGCCGGAGUUGCUAGUAACCGCAGGUCAGCAAUACUGCGGUGAAUACGUUCCCGGGUCUU